This 177-nucleotide ribosomal RNA is filed under the name uncultured bacterium. RNAcentral describes it as "partial 16S rRNA". It matches the Rfam family "Bacterial small subunit ribosomal RNA", at positions 357 to 525 of the family's 1533-position model. The record is from RNAcentral.
UGAAAUUCUCCACAUGAGCGAAAGCUUGAUGGAGCGACACAGCGUGACAGGAUGAAGGUCUUCGGAUUGUAAACUGCUGUUAUAAGGGAAGAAAAACUAGUAGAGGAAAUGCUAUUAGCCUGACGGUACCUUAUCAGAAAGCACCGGCAAACUAUGUGCCAGCAGCCAGCGGUAAUA